GGGGAUUUAGCUCAGCGCCUAUUAAGCACCUGCCUUAUAAGCAGGCAGUAGUGAGUUCAAUCCCCG
RNAcentral lists this transfer RNA (66 nucleotides) under Cavia porcellus (domestic guinea pig). It matches the Rfam family "tRNA". From Rfam's summary of the family: Transfer RNA (tRNA) molecules are approximately 80 nucleotides in length. The record is from Rfam by way of RNAcentral. Lineage: Eukaryota; Metazoa; Chordata; Mammalia; Rodentia; Caviidae.